GCAGGCGGCCGCGAAUUCACUAGUGAUUACUCCUACGGGAGGCAGCAGUGGGGAAUAUUGCACAAUGGGCGGAAGCCUGAUGCAGCAACGCCGCGUGCGGGAUGACGGCCUUCGGGUUGUAAACCGCUUUCGCCUGUGACGAAGCGUGAGUGACGGUAAUGGGUAAAGAAGCACCGGCUAACUACGUGCCAGCAGCCGCGGUGAUACGUAGGGUGCGAGCGUUGUCCGGAUUUAUCGGGCGUAAAGGGCUCGUAGGUGGUUGAUCGCGUCGGAAGUGUAAUCUUGGGGCUUAACCCUGAGCGUGCUUUCGAUACGGGUUGACUUGAGGAGGGUAGGGGAGAAUGGAAUUCCUGGUGGAGCGGUGGAAUGCGCAGAUAUCAGGAGGAACACCAGUGGCGAAGGCGGUUCUCUGGGCCUUUCCUGACGCUGAGGAGCGAAAGCGUGGGGAGCGAACAGGCUUAGAUACCCUGGUAGUCCACGCUGUAAACGGUGGGUACUAGGUGUGGGGUCCAUUCCACGGGUUCCGUGCCGUAGCUAACGCUUUAAGUACCCCGCCUGGGGAGUACGGCCGCAAGGCUAAAACUCAAAGGAAUUGACGGGGCCCCCCACAAGCGGUGGAGCAUGUGGA
This 628-nucleotide ribosomal RNA is filed under the name uncultured bacterium. Its description in RNAcentral is "bacterial SSU rRNA". It matches the Rfam family "Bacterial small subunit ribosomal RNA", at positions 300 to 945 of the family's 1533-position model. The record is from RNAcentral.